AAAAAAAAAAACUGCCUAGAGAGAUUAGGUUGGGUUUGAUAUGGUAUUGAUGGUAAUUACACAAGCCUAUAAGAAGCCCGGUAGGCUUCUUAGCAGCAGAUGCUUUCGAUGAUAACUAGUUCAGGUAUAUAGACUUGCAGCUAGGCUGUCAACAGGGAUGCAGAUUGCGUGCGGAGUUACUCAAUGAGCCCACCGUUAUGCCUUCUUGACUUAUCAUGAAGUAUGUAACAUACAAGGGUGACUCUUUGUGCAUGCAUGUACACCCCGCAGAUUUUUUAAAAGGCUUUUGCAAGCUUGAAAUUUUAAACGCUCAAAGAGGACUGUUGUGAUAAGAGCAUCUGAUGAUUUUGGGCCAAGAGUCCCAGUGUCACAUACAAUCCAUAUUGCAUCUGUUGCCUACAACACCUUUUUCCUUGGAGAAUUCAUGCAGCCUGAUUGGGAUAUGUUUCAUAGCGUUCACCCGAUGGCUGAAUACCAUGGAGCAGCUCGUGCAGUUGGAGGAAAUUUUGCAUAAAGCUAUGUUUAUGAUGUAGCAAAACGAGACACAUUUACAAAUCUUGCGGAUAUAAGGGCUAAGGAAAUCGAUCUCUACUCAACUAAUCAAGAUGCUUGAUGGAAACAAAGUUGAUAAGGUAAUUCCUACAAAGGUUUACAACAACUAUACCUCCAUUCUCAGAGGACUUUUCAAUGCAGGGUGGCCUCAGAACUUCUAUGCUGAAAGUGGAAGGGUUGUCACGAAGAAAGAGGGAAUUGAUUUUGCUCGGGAGUAUGGAUGUCUUUUCCUUGAACGUAGUGCAAAAACUCGAAUUAAUGUACAACAGUGUUUUGAAGAGCUUGUUUUAAAGGUGCACGCUCUGUCAACAUUUAUUUUUAUUUUAUUUCAGGAUGAUCAUGUGGACAUGGAAAAAGUUGUCCUUGGCAUUUGUGAUGGAAGAGUGGUCUGACGGAUCGAUUUCCGUCAGAAAAACCGCAUAAAACAGAUAGCCCACUUGUUUCAACUCAUAGUAGAAACCGAGUAGAAAUGAGUGGAGUCAGUUAUUUCAGGCCGUUCAGCAGGAAAUAGAGAGCCUAGUACUUGGCUUGUCAUUACUGCAGCAUAUAUAUCAGUUUUUAUUUAUUCAAUCAA
Molecule: long non-coding RNA, 1126 nt
Organism: Magnolia sinica
Lineage: Eukaryota; Viridiplantae; Streptophyta; Magnoliopsida; Magnoliales; Magnoliaceae
Exons: 4
Source: RefSeq, a predicted model, not a curated record